CAGCGCCGCGGGAAUACAGAGGGUGCGAGCGUUAAUCGGAUUUACUGGGCGUAAAGCGUGCGUAGGCGGCUUCUUAAGUCGGAUGUGAAAUCCCUGAGCUUAACUUAGGAAUUGCAUUCGAUACUGGGAAGCUAGAGUAUGGGAGAGGAUGGUAGAAUUCCAGGUGUAGCGGUGAAAUGCGUAGAGAUCUGGAGGAAUACCGAUGGCGAAGGCAGCCAUCUGGCCUAAUACUGACGCUGAGGUACGAAAGCAUGGGGAGCAAACAGGAUUAGAUACCCGCGUAGUCCCUGUCUCUUAUACA
Molecule: ribosomal RNA, 301 nt
Filed under: uncultured bacterium
Lineage: Bacteria
Description: partial 16S ribosomal RNA
Rfam family: Bacterial small subunit ribosomal RNA
Source: RNAcentral